AUCCAGUCUUGGUGCACAGCGUACGGGUAGCUCACCGGAGGGGCCGCAUCUGGCCUUCCCUUGCCUCGGGUCUUGCCCUCUCCGCUUCUCUGGUCCCUGGAGGUGGACACUAG
Unclassified non-coding RNA from Vulpes vulpes (red fox), 113 nucleotides. Lineage: Eukaryota; Metazoa; Chordata; Mammalia; Carnivora; Canidae. The record is from Ensembl.